Molecule: ribosomal RNA, 231 nt
Filed under: uncultured bacterium
Lineage: Bacteria
Description: partial 16S ribosomal RNA
Rfam family: Bacterial small subunit ribosomal RNA
Source: RNAcentral
UGGGCAACCUGCCCUCAGCUCUGGGAUAACUCCAAGAAAUUGGGGCUAAUACCGGAUAUGACCGCUGACCGCAUGGUCUGGUGGUGGAAAGAUUUAUCGGCUGGGGAUGGGCCCGCGGCCUAUCAGCUUGUUGGUGGGGUAGUGGCCUACCAAGGCGACGACGGGUAGCCGGCCUGAGAGGGUGACCGGCCACACUGGGACUGAGACACGGCCCAGACCUCCGUACGGGAG